UUCUUAGGCUUUGAAGAUUUGUGUUGAAUCUACACUUUGUUGGUAAGUAUGUACAACAGCCACUAGGCUUUAGUUGGGGGGGGACAACUACAUUUUUCAAUCAUUGAAGCAUCUGGACCCUUACUAUCCUAAAAGUAGUGUACACUUGGUGGACUAGUCUUGGUGGCUCAGUUGAUAGAAUGUUGACCUGGGAAGCGGAAGGUUCCAGAUUCAAGCUCACCAUAGCACCUAGUGUGUCCUUGAGUAAGACUUUCGCACUAGCUCCCCGGGCGCCGCACUGGUAAUCCACUGCUCCUUCAGAGGAUGGGUUAAAAUCCAGAGAAUAAUUACUUCAAUGUGGGAUCAAUAAUAAUAAUAAUAAUAAUAAUAAUUAAGGCUUUACUGAGCAACAGAUGUGAAUUUUAUGUUUAUGUAAAGCCUGAAAAUUGUGGCCACACUCACUCUUUCAAAAUGCCACUCCUUCUGCCAUUGUCCCAAGUGUCAGAGAGAAUUUUGGAAAAUGUGGAACUCUCUGCACUUUGAGGCAGAUACAGACUAAAACUAAAAUUGGCAUGCUUUAUAUUGACCUCAGUAAGAUAUGCGCUGAACCCUACUAUGUCAUAUGUGGUGCAUCAACCAGGUGGUCAGUAAAGGGGUGAGAGGUAAAAGAAAGUGUGGCAUUGACGAUUAUGCAAACAAAGCUUCAUGCAGCCAUUAGAUAUACAGGAAACAUUGUUUAAGUGUUAUUCGUUAGUAUUAUAAAUUAAUAGAUUUUUUUCAUGGAAAACUAAAAAGUUAGUAACUAAAAAAAGGAAAAAAAAACAAUUUCAUAUAAUUGUCCUGUUUAAUUGAACACAAAAAGCUAAUUCAUUGUUUUUCUCUUUUUGUUCCCAUGGCUUUGUCUGUGGGGAAAUUGUGUUAACUGCCCCUCAACUACCCUGGUUUUUCAUGGUUGGGUGUUUUAAUUCCUGUCCUGGGAUUUUUUUUUGUCCAACAAUUUUCUUUUACAACAAUGACAACAACAACUACUACUACUACUACUACUACUACUACUACUACUACUACUACACCUACUCUUGUUUUUAUGUAUAUUUUAGUACAAAUGCUCUGUCUCCUCCUGUUUGUCAUUUGUAUUGUUAUAUGUGACUAAAUAACGACUGUAAGGACUGAAUUUCAACUGACUUGGCUGCAGUUGCCAAACAGGGGAAGGCACUCUGUGAGGCACCAGACUCUUUCAGCUGAUCGGGGAAGUGCGCCCUGUGAAGCCCUAGACUUUUCGCCAAUCAGGGAAGUGCGCCCUGUGAGGUCCCAGACUUUUCGCCUGUCAGGGAAGUGCGCCCUGUAAGGCACCAGACUUAAGAAUCUGUGGAUCAGGGACGUGAGUCCUUGUGAAGCCUUUACAGUUUGAAAUUGUGGAUCGGGGACGCGAGUCCCUGUGAAGCCUUUACAGUUUGAAAUUGUGGAUCAGGGACGUGAGUCCCUGUGAAGCCUUUACAGUUGAUAUUGUGGAUUGAGGAAGUUGAAAGAAGUCUCUUGAUUUUUUAAGUUAAAUAUCAGCUAUUUGGAUUGCUUCUAUUUAUUGCACAUAAGUGAUAUAUUUGCACAUUGAGAUAUUUCACUAUAAAUAGUAAAUACCUAUAAUACUUCACAGCGUUUGUUUUAAGUAAUAUAAAUUGUUGAGAACCUACCUGUUCAAGAUAUAACAUUUGUUUAAUUUAUUCUGCCAUUAUCCUUUAGUCAUGCACUGAACUGCAAAUAAAAAAUUUAAAUUUGUAAAGUUGUGUACUAUC
Betta splendens (Siamese fighting fish) is the source of this 1769-nucleotide long non-coding RNA. Lineage: Eukaryota; Metazoa; Chordata; Actinopteri; Anabantiformes; Osphronemidae. The record is from Ensembl.